CUCAUAGUUCCCUGGGACUCUUUCCUGAAACAGUUCUUCCCUGGAAAGUAUUUGAAACAAACUUACACUAAUAUUCCUCUGUGCCUGUGAGGACAGUGGUGGCCUUGCUGAUUGCUGAGAUGACUGGGGAGUGUGGUUCCUAUUUUCCCAGAUUCAGCUUCUUUGUACUGGUGCUAAUCUCUUUAGAAACCACCCAUCCAUGGCCACACCCUGACAUUCUUUUGUGCUCCUUUCCUGGCCAGGCUACACAUUUUUCAAGUCUUCUUUGCUCCUUUUUGCUCUUGAUUCUCAAUGUAAAUUUGGCUAAAAGCAGCCAAUAACAUCCACGGUAUAAAUGCUUUGCUAUUUUGAAAUCUUCUGUAUCAAAUAAAUUAGCCUACCACAUUUAAAGUCAUCACUUCACAAAGUAAUAUAUUAAAAUUAUUUGCCGUGGUGUGACUAAAGGGUGGCCUUUUCUCCAGUUCCCAAUAAGAUCCUCAUUUCCAUGAGAGACCUCAUCAACAUGGCUUUUACUGUCCACAUUCCUAUCAGCAUUUUGGUCUUCUGAGCCCUCACUAGAAUCACCCACAGUGCUUACAGCAUUCUAGGCUUUCUAUAGUUUACUCCUCCAAACUUUUCCAUCCUUUUUCUGUUAAACAAUUAAAAGGCUCCCCCCCCCCCCCACAUCUUCAGGUAUAGCUAUCGUGAUGAUCAAUCUCACUUCUGACACCAGUUUUCUAUAUUGGUCAAUUCAUGUUACUACAACAAAAUAUUAGAGGCAACUAACUUAACUUAGAAAAGGUUUAUUUAUGUCAUGUGUAUUCUACAAAUACAGUGUUUUCCUGUUUCCUAGUUUGUUCCCA
This 842-nucleotide long non-coding RNA is filed under the name Marmota monax (woodchuck). Lineage: Eukaryota; Metazoa; Chordata; Mammalia; Rodentia; Sciuridae. The record is from RNAcentral.